GAGUGCUGCAGCCGCUGCCGCCGAUUCCGGAUCUCAUUGCCACGCGCACCCGACGACCGCCCGACGUGCAUUCCCGAUUCCUUUUGGUUCCAAGUCCAAUAUGGCAACUCUCAAGGAUCAGCUGAUUCAUAAUCUUCUAAAGGAAGAACAGACCCCCCAGAAUAAGAUUACAGUUGUUGGGGUUGGUGCUGUUGGCAUGGCCUGUGCCAUCAGUAUCUUAAUGAAGGUAAGUGAGAGUCUACCACACUGGAAGCCCAUACCUUGACCGCAUCCUCUACCCCCACUCCUACCCCUAGAAUUGUAUUAUUACAUUUCAUAUAACAAUAUUUAGAUUUAUGCACUCAUUCAGAUAACUUUCUGUGAAACAAGCUUUUGAAAUAUGAUGAUACACCAAAAGUGUAUCUGAAAUUAAAAAGAAUCAAAGGUUAUCAGGCUGGAGACCAAGUUCCUAAAAUUCAUUAUUCUGUAUUAACAUGCAUGGAUUGACUACCAAUGAAAAGGAAGGGUCCGUGACUUUAAAUGAGCCAAAAUUCUUUUAAAGGAUUUUUGAAUUGAAAAUGACACAUACAUAUGGUAUAAUUAUAUGGGAAAUCUUAAGUUCUCCCACCCAAACCUCAUUGCCCCAGUGCCUUGGAUAGCAAUU
This 643-nucleotide small RNA is filed under the name Pongo abelii (Sumatran orangutan). RNAcentral describes it as "retained intron". The record is from RNAcentral. Lineage: Eukaryota; Metazoa; Chordata; Mammalia; Primates; Hominidae.